This 492-nucleotide ribosomal RNA is filed under the name uncultured bacterium. Its description in RNAcentral is "partial 16S ribosomal RNA". It matches the Rfam family "Bacterial small subunit ribosomal RNA", at positions 29 to 507 of the family's 1533-position model. The record is from RNAcentral.
AGUGAACGCUGGCGGUAGGCCUAACACAUGCAAGUCGAACGGCAGCACAGUAAGAGCUUGCUCUUACGGGUGGCGAGUGGCGGACGGGUGAGGAAUACAUCGGAAUCUACUUUUUCUUGGGGGAUAACGUAGGGAAACUUACGCUAAUACCGCAUACGACCUACGGGUGAAAGCAGGGGAUCUUCGGACCUUGCGCGAUUGAAUGAGCCGAUGUCGGAUUAGCUAGUUGGCGGGGUAAAGGCCCACCAAGGCGACGAUCCGUAGCUGGUCUGAGAGGAUGAUCAGCCACACUGGAACUGAGACACGGUCCAGACUCCUACGGGAGGCAGCAGUGGGGAAUAUUGGACAAUGGGCGCAAGCCUGAUCCAGCAAUACCGCGUGGGUGAAGAAGGCCUUCGGGUUGUAAAGCCCUUUUGUUGGGAAAGAAAAGCAGCAGGUUAAUACCCCGCUGUUCUGACGGUACCCAAAGAAUAAGCACCGGCUAACUUCGUG